GAUGAACGCUGGCGGCGUGCUUAACACAUGCAAGUCGAACGGAAAGGCCCAAGCUUGCUUGGGUACUCGAGUGGCGAACGGGUGAGUAACUCGUGGGUGAGCUGCCCUGCACUUCGUGAUAAGCCUGGGAAACUGGGUGUAAUACCGGCUAGGACUAUGGUUUGGAUGCCAUUGUGGAGAGUGUUUUCGGUGUGGGCUGAGCUCGCGGCCUAUCAGCUUGUUGGUGGGGUAAUGGCGUACCAAGGGGUCGACGGGUAGCCGGCCUGGGAGGGUGUACGGGGACUUUGAGACGGAGAAGCGGCCCACAGUACUAAGGGGGGGAGGAGAGGGGAAAAUUGGACAAAGGGCGCAAGCCUGAUGCAGCGACGGCGCGGGGGGGAUGACGGCUUUCGGGUUGUAAACUCCUGUCGCUAGGGUGGAAGCGUUUUUGUGACGGUAACUGGAGAAGAAGCACCGGCUAACUACGUG
Molecule: ribosomal RNA, 468 nt
Filed under: uncultured bacterium
Lineage: Bacteria
Description: partial 16S ribosomal RNA
Rfam family: Bacterial small subunit ribosomal RNA
Source: RNAcentral